Molecule: unclassified non-coding RNA, 940 nt
Filed under: Hevea brasiliensis (rubber tree)
Lineage: Eukaryota; Viridiplantae; Streptophyta; Magnoliopsida; Malpighiales; Euphorbiaceae
Source: RNAcentral
AACGUCCUAAUAUUCCUGGGCAGGUUGAUUUCUUGGUUCUCUUCAUGUACUAUUGGAAACUGAUGCUUGUUGGGUUUUCUGUGACCAUGCAACCAAAUUGUAGUUAAUGGUUUUGCCUAUAAUUAUUAUUCUGGUCUAUAUUACUUUGCAAAAACUUAUUGUAAUUUUUGUUUAUAUUAUAUCAGAUUUUAACCUAUGCACUUGUUGUUUGCUUAUAUGUUUCUAACUUGAAUUAGUAAAAAAGUAAAAGGGUGGCAACUAAGAGGAUCUUUUAAAAAUUGUCAGGGAAAAUCUGAUGAAGUAUGCAGGGAGUUAUAAAGUCACAUGUCUUGGUUUACAAGCAUUAUAUGGCUGUACCAUUUUUGUGGUUCAUACCAUAAAAUUACAAAUUGGCAACCAUAUUUUUCUUUUAUAGGCACUUUGCAGUUGGAUGCAAACUUAAAAAGAAGUGAACUUACUGAUUCAAAUUCCUAAAUCAAUCUGUGUGCACAUGUGUCAUGAGUAUACGCAUAUGAUUGGAAGCCUCAUUCUAUCUCCCUUAAAUUCUUCCUAUUAGAAUAACAAGUAGUUUCAUUAUGGUGUUCUAUUAAUUUGACCAACUGACCUUGGUUUUAAACAUGGGCGGUGGGCCCAAAAAGUAGUUGAUUAUAGUAGUAGAGCAGCAGGUUCACUUGAAAUUUGAAAUUUUGGUUUCAUGAUUUAGUAAGCACCCAAUCUUUAGUUUAUUUGGUUGGAUACAUGUUGAAUUUAGUUGUUACUGGUGAACGAACUCAAUCAAAAUUAAUUUUGCUUAAUAGUCAAAAACUAAUCACUGUAUUCGACCUGUUUCUAAUGUCAUGGUUUUUAAGAUGCAUUUAUUUUCUGCUUUUCUUUCUUCCUUUCUUGCUUGCUUGUCUUAUUGUUUCCUUGAUUACCAAGGAGCUGGCUAUAACCUCUGAUG